GCACUGCUGACGAGUCCAAAACAGGACGAAACAGCUGUCCAGUGU
Molecule: non-coding RNA, 45 nt
Filed under: Echinostoma caproni
Lineage: Eukaryota; Metazoa; Platyhelminthes; Trematoda; Plagiorchiida; Echinostomatidae
Source: RNAcentral